AUGCUGGCUCUUCACAGGGCAUGUGCUCGUCCCAGCUAUUUAUCUUCUCUUGUGCACCUUUUGUAGUCUUUUCGGAAUGAAUAGCAGUUAUCGGAGCGUGAGCGCGCAAGCGCACUGCACCUGUCUGUUUUGCUUUCUUCAGAGGGACUACGUUUUCAUAUACACUAUAAAAGUUACAGAAUGUCUUUUAACGAUUGUGCUUGUCGCAGUCAUUAAACCUAUACAACUUUCAGCAACGGAUCUCUUGGCUCUCCCAUCGAUGAAGAACGCAGCGAAAUGCGAUAAGUAAUGUGAAUUGCAGAAUUCAGUGAAUCAUCGAAUCUUUGAACGCACCUUGCGCCCUUUGGUAUUCCGAAGGGCAUGCCUGUUUGAGUGUCAUUAAAUUAUCAACCUUGCUUUGCUUUUACUAGCAUUGCUCGGCUUGGAUGUGGGGGUUUGCGGGCUUCCUUCAGUGGAUGGUCUGCUCCCCUCAAAUGCAUUAGCGGGAUCUCUUGUGGACCGUCACUUGGUGUGAUAAUUAUCUAUGCCAUACGACUUUGAAGCAAACUUUAUGGGAACCUGCUUAUAACCGUCCUAGGACAAGCUUAUUGACAUUUUGACCUCAAAUCAGGUAGGACUACCCGCUGAACUUAAGCAUAUCAAUAAGCGGAGGAAAAGAAACUAACAAGGAUUCCCCUAGUAACUGCGAGUGAAGCGGGAAA
RNAcentral lists this ribosomal RNA (701 nucleotides) under Mycena romagnesiana. RNAcentral describes it as "eukaryotic LSU rRNA". The stretch from base 225 to 378 matches the Rfam family "5.8S ribosomal RNA". The record is from RNAcentral. Lineage: Eukaryota; Fungi; Basidiomycota; Agaricomycetes; Agaricales; Mycenaceae.